RNAcentral lists this ribosomal RNA (262 nucleotides) under uncultured bacterium. RNAcentral's name for it is "partial 16S ribosomal RNA". It matches the Rfam family "Bacterial small subunit ribosomal RNA", at positions 335 to 594 of the family's 1533-position model. The record is from RNAcentral.
UCUCCUACGGGACGCAGCAGUGAGGAAUAUUGGUCAAUGGCCGCAGGCCUGAACCAGCCAAGUCGCGUGAGGGAUGACGGUCCUAUGGAUUGUAAACCUCUUUUGUCAGGGAGCAAAGGGCGCCACGUGUGGCGCUUUGCGAGUACCUGAAGAAAAAGCAUCGGCUAACUCCGUGCCAGCAGCCGCGGUAAUUCGGAGGAUGCGAGCGUUAUCCGGAUUUAUUGGGUUUAAAGGGUGCGCAGGCGGGAUGUCAAGUCAGCGG